GAGGAAAAGAAACCCACCGGGAUUGCCUUAGAAACGGCGAGUGAAGCGGCAAAAGCUCAAAUUUGAAAUCUGGUACCUUCGGUGCCCGAGUUGUAAUUUGGAGAGGGCAACUUUGGGGCCGUUCCUUGUCUAUGUUCCUUGGAACAGGACGUCAUAGAGGGUGAGAAUCCCGUGUGGCGAGGAGUGCGGUUCUUUGUAAAGUGCCUUCGAAGAGUCGAGUUGUUUGGGAAUGCAGCUCUAAGUGGGUGGUAAAUUCCAUCUAAAGCUAAAUAUUGGCGAGAGACCGAUAGCGAACAAGUACAGUGAUGGAAAGAUGAAAAGAACUUUGAAAAGAGAGUGAAAAAGUACGUGAAAUUGUUGAAAGGGAAGGGCAUUUGAUCAGACAUGGUGUUUUGUGCCCUCUGCUCCUUGUGGGUAGGGGAAUCUUGCAUUUCACUGGGCCAGCAUCAGUUUUGGUGGCAGGAUAAAUCCAUAGGAAUGUAGCUUGCCUCGGUAAGUAUUAUAGCCUGUGGGAAUACUGCCAGCUGGGACUGAGGACUGCGACGUAAGUCAAGGAUGCUGGCAUAAUGGUUAUAUGCCGCCCGUCUUG
This 589-nucleotide ribosomal RNA is filed under the name Saccharomyces cerevisiae (brewer's yeast). Its description in RNAcentral is "eukaryotic LSU rRNA". It matches the Rfam family "Eukaryotic large subunit ribosomal RNA", at positions 53 to 656 of the family's 3401-position model. The record is from RNAcentral. Lineage: Eukaryota; Fungi; Ascomycota; Saccharomycetes; Saccharomycetales; Saccharomycetaceae.